GACGAACGCUGGCGGCGUGCUUAACACAUGCAAGUCGAACGGAAAGGCCCUGCUUUUGUGGGGUGCUCGAGUGGCGAACGGGUGAGUAACACGUGAGUAACCUGCCCUUGACUUUGGGAUAACUUCAGGAAACUGGGGCUAAUACCGGAUAGGAUCUCCCGCUGCAUGGUGGGGGUUGGAAAGUUUCGGCGGUUGGGGAUGGACUCGCGGCUUAUCAGCUUGUUGGUGGGGUAGUGGCUUACCAAGGCUUUGACGGGUAGCCGGCCUGAGAGGGUGACCGGCCACAUUGGGACUGAGAUACGGACCAGACUCCUACGGGAGGCAGCAGUGGGGAAUAUUGCACAAUGGGCGGAAGCCUGAUGCAGCAACGCCGCGUGCGGGAUGACGGCCUUCGGGUUGUAAACCGCUUUCGCCUGUGACGAAGCGUGAGUGACGGUAAUGGGUAAAGAAGCACCGGCUAACUACGUG
This 468-nucleotide ribosomal RNA is filed under the name uncultured bacterium. Its description in RNAcentral is "partial 16S ribosomal RNA". It matches the Rfam family "Bacterial small subunit ribosomal RNA", at positions 28 to 507 of the family's 1533-position model. The record is from RNAcentral.